This is a long non-coding RNA of Homo sapiens (human), 383 nucleotides long. Lineage: Eukaryota; Metazoa; Chordata; Mammalia; Primates; Hominidae. The record is from Ensembl.
UAUUAUUUUCUAAGACUGGGAUAGUGACAGAGCCUGGAUUACAACUACUCUGGACUCAUAGUCCUAUGCUCAGACUAUUAGGCUGCCAUGAUAUUGCAGAGCUAGAAUUAUUACCAGUUAUCUAGAACAAAGUCACUACUAAUUCUAUUUUUAACUAGUACCUAAUUCACUGUUAUCUUUCAGGGACACUUAAAAGCUCCUUAGCUAAACUCAUUCUAUAGACGCUUUACAACAAGUAAAGCAAGUUUUAGGGCUAAAAUCACAGAGUCUGAAAAAGAGGCUUGUGUCCUGACCAUACCGCCCCAGACAAAAAAACAGAAUGAGUACUUCAUAAUGUACCAAAAAAGUCUAUCUGCUUAUCAAAAUAAAUAAAUAAAAAUAAA